Molecule: ribosomal RNA, 460 nt
Filed under: uncultured bacterium
Lineage: Bacteria
Description: partial 16S ribosomal RNA
Rfam family: Bacterial small subunit ribosomal RNA
Source: RNAcentral
CCUACGGGAGACUGCAGUGAGGAAUAUUGGUCAAUGGGCGUAAGCCUGAACCAGCCAAGUCGCGUGAGGGAUGAAGGUUCUAUGGAUCGUAAACCUCUUUUAUCAGGGAAUAAAGUGCGGGACGUGUCCCGUGUUGUAUGUACCUUAUGAAUAAGGAUCGGCUAACGCCGUGCCAGCAGCCGCGGUAAUACGGAGGAUCCGAGCGUUAUCCGGAUUUAUUGGGUUUAAAGGGUGCGUAGGCGGCCUUUUAAGUCAGCGGUGAAAGUCUGUGGCUCAACCAUAGAAUUGCCGUUGAAACUGGGAGGCUUGAGUAUGUUUGAGGCAGGCGGAAUGCGUGGUGUAGCGGGGAAAUGCUGAGAUAUCACGCAGAACCCCGAUUGCGAAGGCAGCCUGCCAAGCCAUGACUGACGCUGAUGCACGAAAGCGUGGGGAUCAAACAGGAUUAGAUACCCCAGUAGUC